This 332-nucleotide ribosomal RNA is filed under the name uncultured bacterium. RNAcentral describes it as "bacterial SSU rRNA". It matches the Rfam family "Bacterial small subunit ribosomal RNA", at positions 475 to 806 of the family's 1533-position model. The record is from RNAcentral.
GUACCUGAAGAAUAAGCAUCGGCUAACUCCGUGCCAGCAGCCGCGGUAAGACGGAGGAUGCAAGUGUUAUCCGGAAUCACUGGGCGUAAAGCGUCUGUAGGUGGUUUAAUAAGUCAACUGUUAAAUCUUGAAGCUCAACUUCAAAAUGGCAGUGGAAACUAUUAGACUAGAGUAUAGUAGGGGUAAAGGGAAUUUCCAGUGGAGCGGUGAAAUGCGUAGAUAUUGGGAAGAACACCGAUGGCGAAGGCACUUUACUGGGCUAUUACUGACACUCAGAGACGAAAGCUAGGGUAGCAAAUGGGAUUAGAUACCCCAGUAGUCCUAGCUGUAAA